This 350-nucleotide ribosomal RNA is filed under the name uncultured bacterium. RNAcentral's name for it is "bacterial SSU rRNA". It matches the Rfam family "Bacterial small subunit ribosomal RNA", at positions 355 to 722 of the family's 1533-position model. The record is from RNAcentral.
UGGGGAAUAUUGGACAAUGGGGGAAACCCUGAUCCAGCAAUGCCGCGUGAGUGAAGAAGGCCUUAGGGUUGUAAAGCUCUUUCAGAAGUGAAGAUGAUGACUGUAACUUCAGAAGAAGAUCCGGCUAACUCCGUGCCAGCAGCCGCGGUAAUACGGAGGGAUCUAGCGUUGUUCGGAAUUACUGGGCGUAAAGGGCGCGUAGGCGGUAUGAUUAGUCAGAGGUGAAAUCCCUAAGCUUAACUUAGGAACUGCCUUUGAUACUGUUAUACUAGAGAACGAGAGAGGUGAGUGGAAUUCCAAGUGUAGAGGUGAAAUUCGUAGAUAUUUGGAAGAACACCAGUGGCGAAAGC